RNAcentral lists this ribosomal RNA (467 nucleotides) under uncultured bacterium. Its description in RNAcentral is "partial 16S ribosomal RNA". It matches the Rfam family "Bacterial small subunit ribosomal RNA", at positions 28 to 507 of the family's 1533-position model. The record is from RNAcentral.
GACGAACGCUGGCGGCGUGCUUAACACAUGCAAGUCGAACGGAAAGGCCCUGCUUGUGUGGGGUUCUCGAGUGGCGAACGGGUGAGUAACAUGUGAGUAACCUGCCCUUUACUUUGGGAUAACUUCAGGAAAGUGGGGCUAAUACCGGAUAGGAGCUCCUGCUGCAUGGUGGGGGUUGGAACGUUUCGGCGGUUGGGGAUGGACUCGCGGCUUAUCAGCUUGUUGGUGGGGUAGUGGCUUACCACGGCUUUGACGGGUAGCCGGACUGGGAGGGUGACAGGGCCCAUACGCACUGGGGAGGGAGCAGUGGUGAAUAGUGAACAAGGGGCGAAAGACUUUGCCAGCCGGGCGGAGGCGUUGAGGAAGGACGCCGGGUGCUAAAUGACGUCUUUCGGGUAGUAAACCCAUUUCGCUUGUAACGAGCUGUGAGUGAGGGUAAUAGAUAAUAAGGAACGGGUUACUUCCUU